This 459-nucleotide ribosomal RNA is filed under the name uncultured bacterium. RNAcentral describes it as "partial 16S ribosomal RNA". It matches the Rfam family "Bacterial small subunit ribosomal RNA", at positions 338 to 795 of the family's 1533-position model. The record is from RNAcentral.
CCUACGGGUGGCAGCAGUGAGGAAUAUUGGUCAAUGGGCGCGAGCCUGAACCAGCCAAGUCGCGUGAGGGAAGAAGGUCCUAGGGAUUGUAAACCUCUUUUGUCGGGGAGCAAAAGACGCCACGCGUGGCGUUCCGAGAGUACCCGAAGAAAAAGCAUCGGCUAACUCCGUGACAGCAGCCGCGGUAAUACGGAGGAUGCGAGCGUUAUCUGGAUUUAAUGGGGUUAAAGGGUGCGCAGGGGGAAGAUCAAGUCAACGGUAAAGUUGAGAGGCUCAACCUCUUCGAGCCGUUGAAACUGGGUUUCUUGAGUGAACGAGAGGAAUGCGGAAUGCGUGGUGUAGCGGUGAAAUGCAUAGAUAUCACGCAGAACUCCGAUUGCGAAGGCAGCAUACCGGCGCUCAACUGACGCUCAUGCACGAAAGUGUGGGUAUCGAACAGGAUUAGAUACCCUUGUAGUC